AGGAUAACGUUGCGUAAGCAACGGCCCGAAGGGCGAGGCUUAGCCGAGUCAUCCUCCCGGAUGCACCA
Molecule: small RNA, 68 nt
Filed under: Klebsiella variicola
Lineage: Bacteria; Pseudomonadati; Pseudomonadota; Gammaproteobacteria; Enterobacterales; Enterobacteriaceae
Description: partial RtT sRNA
Rfam family: RtT RNA
About the family: This family represents a bacterial cis-regulatory element known as RtT RNA.
Source: RNAcentral